Molecule: ribosomal RNA, 435 nt
Filed under: uncultured bacterium
Lineage: Bacteria
Description: bacterial SSU rRNA
Rfam family: Bacterial small subunit ribosomal RNA
Source: RNAcentral
AACGCGAAGAACCUUACCAAGGCUUGACAUACACGAGAACAUCCCAGAAAUGGGGGACUCUUUGGACACUCGUGAACAGGUGGUGCAUGGUUGUCGUCAGCUCGUGUCGUGAGAUGUUGGGUUAAGUCCCGCAACGAGCGCAACCCUCGUUCUAUGUUGCCAGCACGUAAUGGUGGGAACUCAUGGGAUACUGCCGGGGUCAACUCGGAGGAAGGUGGGGAUGACGUCAAAUCAUCAUGCCCCUUAUGUCUUGGGCUUCACGCAUGCUACAAUGGCCGGUACAAAGGGCUGCAAUACCGUGAGGUGGAGCGAAUCCCAAAAAGCCGGUCCCAGUUCGGAUUGAGGUCUGCAACUCGACCUCAUGAAGUCGGAGUCGCUAGUAAUCGCAGAUCAGCAACGCUGCGGUGAAUACGUUCCCGGGUCUUGUACACACCG